RNAcentral lists this unclassified non-coding RNA (1126 nucleotides) under Athalia rosae (coleseed sawfly). RNAcentral's name for it is "misc RNA ENSAEAG00005011199.1". Lineage: Eukaryota; Metazoa; Arthropoda; Insecta; Hymenoptera; Athaliidae. The record is from RNAcentral.
CAGAAUUCGUUGUCCAAGAAGGUCGACUAGGUAGUCGAAUACCGGUCGAGCAGUAUUGAGCGGUGUAACUGCCGAAGUUUCAUGGUAGUUCGUAACGCAACCGCACUGAUCCAAGACUUGCACAGGCGUACUCAUAACUAUGAUAUACUGUAAGUACGUUGUUGAGGAGUUGCUAACAACUCAAGGUAACGUUUUGUAAUAUAAAAUGAUUAUCCCAGUACGUUGUUUUACCUGUGGCAAAGUAAUUGGCAACAAAUGGGAGGCGUAUUUAGGACUAUUGCAGGCAGAAUACACAGAAGGCGAUGCACUGGAUGCUCUGGGUUUGAAGAGAUAUUGCUGUCGUCGAAUGUUGCUUGGACACGUUGACCUGAUUGAGAAACUGCUAAAUUAUGCUCCGCUCGAAAAGUAGGAAGCCGAGCUGUGGGAACGACGACUGAACUUCAUUUUCCAUUCAUUGGAUGACCGAUAUCAUGACUACAAUAAAAGGCUUUUGCGAAAACUUGUAUUCAUGUGAAAUAUUUAUUUCGUUCUCUGUUUCUUACAUCGACUGUAACCAAAUCUCAUAGCAUAUUUGGUGAUACAUUAAAAAAUACAUGUUUUGAAGGCAAUUUAGCUACCAUAAAAAUAUCCCCAAAGACGAGGCUGCUGCUCAUAAAAACUUUCUGAAAGUGGCGUAAAUUCGAUGCUAUUUAUUAUCAAGCUAUCGAAUAUUCAUCCUAGACAUGUUGUAAAUAGGUAUUACCCAUGAAUAGGGCUUACGAGUAUUUUAAAUGCUGUAAAAAAUAAAUACGCACCCUAUUCUGAUUUUAGUCUAAUGAUUAAAGAUAUUUUUCAAUGAUAUGAUCGUUAAGUUUAUUAAAUGAUUUGAAUACCUAACUAUACAUACUUUCGAGUCGAUCGAACUUAUCGCAUUUAUUCAUACAUUUUCAGCCUAUCAACAUUAUUGCAAUUUAGAUACCAAUCACAGUUCUGAUAUAUUGUCAUAACUUUUAAACACCGUGUUGAAUUCUGGUCGUAAAUUGGAUUAAAAUUCCUCGCGUUGUUUUAUAUCAUAAUACAACGCUUCCAUUAAUUCGAAUAGUAUUCAUCAUUCUAACGGACAUUCAUUUUGUGCAUUAAAUUUUCC